AUUUUGGGACUGAGCACUGUACCCAUUGUAUUUAAAUACAAAUUAAAUACAAUGGGUACAGUGCUCAGUCCCAAAAU
Molecule: non-coding RNA, 77 nt
Organism: Paramuricea clavata
Lineage: Eukaryota; Metazoa; Cnidaria; Anthozoa; Malacalcyonacea; Plexauridae
Source: the annotation of a GenBank genome assembly